GAAACAGAGGAGGACAGAGACAGAGACAGAAACAGGGAAGGACAGAGACAGAAACAGCGAAGGACAGAGACAGAAACAGGGGAGGACAGAGACAGAAACAGGGGAGGACAGAGACAGAAACAGGGAAGGACAGAGACAGAAACAGGGAAGGACAGAGACAGAAACAGGGAAGGACAGAGACAGAAACAGGGAAGGACAGAGACAGAGACAGAAACAGGGGAGAACAGAGACAGAAACAGGGGAGGACAGAGACAGAAACAUUGGAGGACAGAGACAGGGAAUGACAGAGACAGAAACAGAAACAGGGGAGGACAGAAACAGGGAAGACAGAGACAGAAACAGGGGAGGACAGAGACAGAGACAGGGAAGGACAGAGACAGAGACAGAAACAGGGAAGACAGAGACGGAAACAGGGGAGGACAGAGACAGAGACAGGGAAGGACAGAGACAGAGACAGAAACAGGGGAGAACAGAGACAGGAACAGAAACAGGGAAGACAGAGACAGAAACAUUGGAGGACAGAGACAGGGAAGGACAGAGACAGAAGCAGGGGAGGACAGAGACAGAGACAGAAACAGGGAAGGACAGAAACAGAGGAGGACAGAGACAGAGACAGAAACAGGGAAGGACAGAGACAGAAACAGGGGAGGACAGAGACAGAAACAGGGGAGGACAGAGACAGAAACAGGGGAGGACAGAGACAGAAACAGGCGAGGACAGAGGCAGAAACAGGGGUGGACAGAGACAGAAACAGGGAAGACAGAGACAGAAACAGGGGAGGACAGAGACAGAAACAGGGGAGGACAGAGACAGAAACAGGGGAGGACAGAGACAGAAACAGGGAAGGACAGAGACAGAAACAGGGAAGGACAGAGACAGAGACAGGGAAGGACAGAGACAGAGACAGAAACAGGGGAGA
Molecule: long non-coding RNA, 919 nt
Filed under: Salmo salar (Atlantic salmon)
Lineage: Eukaryota; Metazoa; Chordata; Actinopteri; Salmoniformes; Salmonidae
Description: lncRNA (ENSSSAG00000092075.1)
Source: RNAcentral